Non-coding RNA from Pelodiscus sinensis (Chinese soft-shelled turtle), 2162 nucleotides. The record is from RefSeq and is a predicted model, not a curated record. NCBI's taxonomy places the organism in Eukaryota, Metazoa, Chordata, Testudines, Trionychidae.
GCAGAGACACCUGUUUCUCAGCUGUUGACUUCACUGGGGCGCCAUGCUGGGGUCCUCGCAUGUGGAUUAUGUGGUCUGUUUGGGAACAAGGAGAGAAAACUUUGUUCAUGGAAACAGACCAGUGUAAAACUGGAGUCAUGUCUAUGGCCUGUUCUGUGACAGCAACUAUCAUGGACUCAGCACUCAAGGUGCCCACCCUGCAGAUGGGCUACUGAGAUCAACUCAGCCUUAAAGGAAAGCCUCUAAUCUGUUAAAAAGACGCUAUUGAAUCUGGAUUGCACCUGAUCCUACUCCUGUUGAGGAAACUCCCCCAACUUCACUGAAAGAAUGAUAAAAAGGAACUGGUACAGAACACUUCCCGACCAGGAUGUGAUGGUCAGACACGAGCCAAACACGAUGGCAGAGGUUUUGGAUCAAGGCAGUGCCCUGUAAUACAUCUGGGACAUAGCAACUAGGAAAAGGAAAAGAUAUCCACAGUUAAAACACUUCAUUAAUGGUAUAGCUAGAGGAGGAUGAAUGAGAUUAAUGCAGCCGUCCUGUGCCCAGAGGGAAACUCUAUGGGACUCUUUCUUUGAGGUAAAGACACUGUUAGAAGACCUCACAAACGCUUUAUUGGAGAGCGAGCCCGCACAGGCAUAAACCGCAGUGUCAAAUGAGAGCCGGGUGUUCUCUUUGAGGAGAGGUGGCUCAGAUGCAAAUGACCUGUCCUCCAGCCAAUGGAUCUUUGCUGUGCGGAGGCCCAGCUAGGGCCAUGAAUCAGGAAGCGUUCCCACCACACUGCCCAGUUUGAGGAGCCAUUUCUCAGAUUCAAAAUGCGGAAGCCUGGGGUGAUUCACAUGACAUCAGUCCACUCACCCUCCUCUGACGACUGGGAAGUGUCAACCUGUGGCGAAUGCGUGCUCUGGGAAGGGAGUUCUUCCUCUCUGAGAUAAGUAAAUCCCUGACACCGCUCCUGGAGCUAUGGACACUUUCCUACAUGGAAGGUUUCCCACAAUGGCAAUAAAUGACUAUCGAUUUUGAGGUUGCUAUUUUUGAAAGAGCAGCGCUGGAGACGUAAGCAUAAGCUCCUUGACUACAGUAAAUAGGUUGGCAAGUAAAUGUGCAGCACUGGGCAAAAUUCUCCUCUGAGAGCCACACAAGUGAUCUCAUCACGUCAACUGUAAUAUUCUGCUUUCCAUACAGGCAGGGAGCCUCCCAUUAACUUCAGCUGAAUAUUGCACAAGUAAGGAAAGCAAAAUACCAGAGCCAAGAUGUGCUGUAGGGAGAGGUAAAUGUUGCCAAAAGUUGAGAAAUCUGUCCCUGUGCAGCAGUGAAUGAAAUAUAUGUUUGAGUGGGAGAGCUAACAUGGACAAUUACAGCCAAUCAAAUCAGGAAACACAAACAAGCAUUUAAAGGGAAGAUUUUCUUUUAAAUAUAUAAGCUGGAGUGAAAUGUGCUGCUCUCUGACUGGCAACUUGGAUUUUUUUAAAAAAACCCAUAGACUGAAUUACAAGCUUAAUUUGUGAAGCAGCACUUGAAGCAGCACUUGAAGUGGAACCACUUGUGCUCAGAGAAGACUCCAUUUCAUUACAACAAAAAAACAUUCCCUUCUACAAUUGGUUUAUGGAUCGAAUACAGUAUCUCUAGAGAGGGAAAUAGAUUAGCUGAUCUAUAUCUGUGAAUGACUGUUUGUGCUUAUGCAUUCACACACAUACUCCCCCCACCCACCACGCUAUGUGCAUUUGACAUUGUAAUGUUCAUUAUUAAUUUGUUUAUUGCAUUCAGCUGUGACCUGGAAGCUUUACAGAUAAGGUACCUUCCCCCAAAGAACUUUCAGUCUAACUGGCCCCGGCACAAAUGAGGGCUGAAGAAUGGGAUAUACUAAGCAGCAGUAUGACUGAAUGAAUGAGGACAUUUUGCAUGCUGGCAAGAUUUUUUUUUUUAUUCACAGAUAUUUAAUCAUUUGACUUAACACUUCUCUGCGGGAUAAAUUAUGUACCCUAGGAAAAAAGUGCAUUUGAAUGUUUGAUCUUGAGGACAAAGGAACUGAAGCAUGAAUUGGGAAGGAGGAAGUGGGGUAAUCAUGGACAAUUUGGAGGCAUAAGUGAAAGGAAAAACCUGAGUGGGUGAAGGAGGGAAUCAUAGAAUCAUAGAAUACUAGGACUGGAAGGGACCUCAAGAGG